GGUUGUGGCUCAGUGGUAGAGUGCUUGCCUAGCAUGCACAAGGCACUGGGUUUGAUCCUCAUCACCA
This 67-nucleotide transfer RNA is filed under the name Marmota monax (woodchuck). Its description in RNAcentral is "tRNA.Ala". The record is from RNAcentral. Lineage: Eukaryota; Metazoa; Chordata; Mammalia; Rodentia; Sciuridae.